Molecule: long non-coding RNA, 302 nt
Filed under: Dasypus novemcinctus (nine-banded armadillo)
Lineage: Eukaryota; Metazoa; Chordata; Mammalia; Cingulata; Dasypodidae
Description: lncRNA (ENSDNOG00000050300.1)
Source: RNAcentral
AAGCAAUAAAGUAGCUAAUAGAUGUAUACCACUGUACAUGGAAUUGGUUUAAUUCAAAGCCUGGGUUCUUGCCAUGUUUUCAGCAUUAGACAAUACAUAGCUCCUUUUACUUAAAUUCACUUAGGACCUGACCAAUAAAUCGCAUCUACCAGCCUACUGCUUCUACUGUUCUCUUCUCUGGGCCCCAUAGCCACCGUCUUGAAUUUUGUGUUCACCAUUCCAUUCCUCUUUAUAAUAUAAUUUGCUCAGAUAUUUAUUUACCUACAAGGGAUGUUAUUUCAUCUUUCUUAAUUUUUCUGGAU